GAUGCUCUUAAUGGUCUACUUU
Molecule: non-coding RNA, 22 nt
Filed under: Arabidopsis thaliana (thale cress)
Lineage: Eukaryota; Viridiplantae; Streptophyta; Magnoliopsida; Brassicales; Brassicaceae
Source: RNAcentral